AAAAGAAACCAUUUUGAAUUAAAAAUGGAAUGGGAGUAAAUUGUCAACAUUUGAAAAUAAUUGCUUUCCCUAUUGAAGCUGCAGUGCCUCGCACGGCCUUACCUUUAUAGAAAUACCCAUUCAGGACAAAGUUGUUGCAUGCAGGGUAUACUAGAAGAGGAAAGCUGAUUACAUACAGGUUGUCAGCGUUGCCGUCUUCAGUUCCAUUUUAAGCCCCGAAGCGUAUAGCACACACGGUUGCGGCACCUGCGAAAUAUCUUAUCAAGAUGUUAAAGUCUUAUCAGCUGCUUUUAAGCAUAGUAUUGCUGAUUGCAUUUUUUAACAUUGGGACAAAUUCAUUCGUACGACGGGCGAAUGUAACGAUUACAAACCCAGCAUGGAAAAGGUAUAAUAACACUAGGCCUUAUUACGGAGCAUUCAAUGGAAGUCGAGCCAUACAGCCCUUGCAGAGCAGUUCACAAUAUGCAGUACCUUACCAAGGAGCAGUACAACCAAACAUAGGAUUCAGUAACAUUCUUUUCGGCUCUGGUACUCCAAUCCAACCCAAUACUAAUUAUGGAAUUAACGCUCAGCCGUACUACCCAAACAGUACUACGCAUGGAAGAUUUAAUUAUACCAAAAGUGCUCAAGCCAACAGCACUUAUCCAUUCGCCAGGCUAUUCAAGUUCUGGUAAAACUCUAAAUAUUCCAAUAUUGAAAGCAAGAUUAAAAAUGAGAACCAAGA
Drosophila mojavensis is the source of this 724-nucleotide long non-coding RNA. RefSeq lists it as uncharacterized. The record is from RefSeq and is a predicted model, not a curated record. The transcript has 2 exons. NCBI's taxonomy places the organism in Eukaryota, Metazoa, Arthropoda, Insecta, Diptera, Drosophilidae.